UAUCUUAGUGGCGACGGGUGAGUAACGCGUGGGUAACCUGCCUUAUACAGGGGGAUAACACUUAGAAAUAGGUGCUAAUACCGCAUAAGCGCACGGGGCUGCAUGGCCCAGUGUGAAAAACUCCGGUGGUAUAAGAUGGACCCGCGUCUGAUUAGCUUGUUGGCGGGGUAACGGCCCACCAAGGCGACGAUCAGUAGCCGGCCUGAGAGGGUGGACGGCCACAUUGGGACUGAGACACGGCCCAAACUCCUACGGAAGGCAGCAG
RNAcentral lists this ribosomal RNA (265 nucleotides) under uncultured bacterium. RNAcentral's name for it is "partial 16S ribosomal RNA". It matches the Rfam family "Bacterial small subunit ribosomal RNA", at positions 88 to 354 of the family's 1533-position model. The record is from RNAcentral.